AAUGCAAGUCGAGCGGACAGAUGGAGCUUGCUCCCUGAUGUUAGCGGCGGACGGGUGAGUAACACGUGGGUAACACUGCCUGUGAGACUGGGAUAUAUCCGGGAAACCGGGGCUAAUACCGGAUGGUUGUUUGAACCGCAUGGUUCAGACAUAAAAGGUGGCUUCGGCUACCACUUACAGAUGGACCCGCGGCGCAUUAGCUAGUUGGUGAGGUAACGGCUCACCAAGGCGACGAUGCGUAGCCGACCUGAGAGGGUGAUCGGCCACACUGGGACUGAGACACGGCCCAGACUCCUACGGGAGGCAGCAGUAGGGAAUCUUCCGCAAUGGACGAAAGUCUGACGGAGCAACGCCGCGUGAGUGAUGAAGGUUUUCGGAUCGUAAAGCUCUGUUGUUAGGGAAGAACAAGUGCCGUUCAAAUAGGGCGGCACCUUGACGGUACCUAACCAGAAAGCCACGGCUAACUACGUGCCAGCAGCCGCGGUAAUACGUAGGUGGCAAGCGUUGUCCGGAAUUAUUGGGCGUAAAGGGCUCGCAGGCGGUUUCUUAAGUCUGAUGUGAAAGCCCCCGGCUCAACCGGGGAGGGUCAUUGGAAACUGGGGAACUUGAGUGCAGAAGAGGAGAGUGGAAUUCCACGUGUAGCGGUGAAAUGCGUAGAGAUGUGGAGGAACACCAGUGGCGAAGGCGACUCUCUGGUCUGUAACUGACGCUGAGGAGCGAAAGCGUGGGGAGCGAACAGGAUUAGAUACCCUGGUAGUCCACGCCGUAAACGAUGAGUGCUAAGUGUUAGGGGGUUUCCGCCCCUUAGUGCUGCAGCUAACGCAUUAAGCACUCCGCCUGGGGAGUACGGUCGCAAGACUGAAACUCAAAGGAAUUGACGGGGGCCCGCACAAGCGGUGGAGCAUGUGGUUUAAUUCGAAGCAACGCGAAGAACCUUACCAGGUCUUGACAUCCUCUGACAAUCCUAGAGAUAGGACGUCCCCUUCGGGGGCAGAGUGACAAGUGGUGCAUGGUUGUCGUCAGCUCGUGUCGUGAGAUGUUGGGUUAAGUCCCCCAACCAGCAACCCUUGAUCUUAGUUGCCACCAUUCGUUGGCCCUCUAAGGUGACUGCGGGGAAAACC
This 1121-nucleotide ribosomal RNA is filed under the name Bacillus sp. (in: firmicutes). Its description in RNAcentral is "bacterial SSU rRNA". It matches the Rfam family "Bacterial small subunit ribosomal RNA", at positions 54 to 1163 of the family's 1533-position model. Lineage: Bacteria; Bacillati; Bacillota; Bacilli; Caryophanales; Bacillaceae. The record is from RNAcentral.